AGAGUUUGAUCCUGGCUCAGAGUGAACGCUGGCGGCAGGCCUAACACAUGCAAGUCGAACGGCAGCACAGAGGAGCUUGCUCCUCGGGUGGCGAGUGGCGAACGGGUGAGGAAUACAUCGGAAUCUGCCUUAUCGUGGGGGAUAACGUAGGGAAACUUACGCUAAUACCGCAUACGACCCACGGGUGAAAGCGGAGGACCUUCGGGCUUCGCGCGAUAAGAUGAGCCGAUGUCGGAUUAGCUAGUUGGGGGGGUAAAGGCCCACCAAGGCGACGAUCCGUAGCUGGUCUGAGGGGAUGAUCAGCCACACUGGAACUGAGACACGGUCCAGACUCCUACGGGAGGCAGCAGUGGGGAAUAUUGGACCAUGUGGCGCGCACGCCAGAUCCAGUCCAUGCCGCGUGUGUGAAGAACGCCUUCGGGUUGUAAAGCACUUUUGUCCGGAAAGAAAAGCACUGGAUUAAUACCCUGGUGUUAUGACGGUACCGGAAGAAUAAGCACCGGCUAACUUCGUGCCAGCAGCCGCGGUAAUACGAAGGGUGCAAGCGUUACUCGGAAUUACUGGGCGUAAAGCGUGCGUAGGUGGAUAGACUGUAGAUCACGUUGAUUGCCCCGCCCACCCAACCCACCCACCCCCCUUAGGAUACUGGGCUAACUAAGAGUGCGGNANAGGAUGGCCGAAUUCCCGGUGUACCAGUGAAAUGCGUAGAGAUCGGGAGGACCAUCUGUNGGCNAAGGCGGCCCAUCUGGAACGANCCACUGACACCUGAUGGGCACAAAGAGCCGUGGGGGGAACCAAACCGG
Molecule: ribosomal RNA, 803 nt
Filed under: uncultured bacterium
Lineage: Bacteria
Description: bacterial SSU rRNA
Rfam family: Bacterial small subunit ribosomal RNA
Source: RNAcentral